AAUACGUUCCCGGGCCUUGUACACACCGCCCGUCACACCACGAAAGUCGGCAACACCCGAAGCCGGUGGCCCAACCCGUUUAGGGGAGGGAGCCGUCGAAGGUGGGGUUGGCGAUUGGGGUG
RNAcentral lists this ribosomal RNA (122 nucleotides) under uncultured bacterium. Its description in RNAcentral is "partial 16S ribosomal RNA". It matches the Rfam family "Bacterial small subunit ribosomal RNA", at positions 1365 to 1482 of the family's 1533-position model. The record is from RNAcentral.